Molecule: ribosomal RNA, 502 nt
Filed under: Staphylococcus aureus
Lineage: Bacteria; Bacillati; Bacillota; Bacilli; Caryophanales; Staphylococcaceae
Description: partial 23S ribosomal RNA
Rfam family: Bacterial large subunit ribosomal RNA
Source: RNAcentral
GGUGAAAAGCACCCCGGAAGGGGAGUGAAAUAGAACCUGAAACCGUGUGCUUACAAGUAGUCAGAGCCCGUUAAUGGGUGAUGGCGUGCCUUUUGUAGAAUGAACCGGCGAGUUACGAUUUGAUGCAAGGUUAAGCAGUAAAUGUGGAGCCGUAGCGAAAGCGAGUCUGAAUAGGGCGUUUAGUAUUUGGUCGUAGACCCGAAACCAGGUGAUCUACCCUUGGUCAGGUUGAAGUUCAGGUAACACUGAAUGGAGGACCGAACCGACUUACGUUGAAAAGUGAGCGGAUGAACUGAGGGUAGCGGAGAAAUUCCAAUCGAACCUGGAGAUAGCUGGUUCUCUCCGAAAUAGCUUUAGGGCUAGCCUCAAGUGAUGAUUAUUGGAGGUAGAGCACUGUUUGGACGAGGGGCCCCUCUCGGGUUACCGAAUUCAGACAAACUCCGAAUGCCAAUUAAUUUAACUUGGGAGUCAGAACAUGGGUGAUAAGGUCCGUGUUCGAAAG